GUGGCACCAGAGUGAGGGCUGGGUAGAGGGGAUGGCUGGUGAUAGCUGAAGGAGCCAGGCAGCGGGGAGGCAGAGAAAGAACUUGCUCUUCCUGCUGCUGAGACGAGAGAAAGGAAAGACGAGGCAGCACUUGCAGGAAAAGGAAAGCCUAAAUGCAGCCAUGCAGGGAACAACGCAGCCAUGCAGGGAUGCCCUGUGCUAAGUGCUGGGCAUGCAAUGAGACUCCAUGAAGCCACAGUGUCAUUGAGGGGAGACAGAAGACACACUUGUCAAAGGGCGCCUCGCGGGAGACAGCUGCACAGCACAGGCACUCUCCCUCAGAAACCGCUCCUUCAGUAAGAGGUGGUGGCACCAUCCACUCGGGCAGGGAGACUGCCGCCAGGCUGAGAACUUGCAAAAUGGAAAGAAGUGAGAACAGUCCUAUGGAAGCAGCACAGACUUUGGAACAGAGUUGUAAGAUGCCAGGACAGAGCAGGUACUCAGCACGCAAUGGUCAUUGUUUUCACUAUUCCGGGGAUUCAACUGCAAAGGAAGAAAAAUAUUUCAUCCAAGAGUGGACAAGCAGGCUUAGGACAGAGGUAAGAGGAGAAGAGAGUUGGAGGAUAGUGUUUCUGAAGAAGGCUAAUUCCCAGGGAGGACUUCUGGGACCUUGCUUACCGACGACCGAGGUUCACCUGGGUGUACUGGGCCCCGCACUAAGUAGCCUGUGUAAUCUCAGUUUAUUUAAUGCUCUCAACUCUGUAAAGUAGGUGGUAUUACCUUCAUUUAACAGAUGAAGAAACUAAGAUGAGGGCUCUGGCCCGAAGCUGGUGAGAGGCAGCAGCAGGAACUGAGCCUGGGCCUGCUGGACUCCAAAAGCCUCUCUGGCUCUGUCACUUGCACUGACCCCAAGGCCCAAGGGAGGUGACCCUGUCAAGUAUGGUGGAGGACUCAGGCUCUGCAAUGGCAGAGAUGGUUUGCAAAGCACCCUACACUUCCCUAUGCUUUUUGUUCCCUACUUGUUUUAAAUUUUAUCUGAUAAACCAAAUCCUUCUCUGUAUUUCCUGUUUUUUAAUUUGUGGAGUUUUAAAAAUUGUGAUAAAAUACACAUAACAUAAAAUUUAUCAUAACUAUUUUCAAGUGUUCAGUUCAGUAGUGUUAAGUAUAUUUGAGUUGUGAAAAAGGUCUCCAGAACCUUUUCAUCUUGCAAAACUGAAACUUUGUACCCAUUAAACAAUAACCACGGAAAGCAAAACCACAGAUAAGGAGGAAUUCCUGUUCUAUGCUAUUUUGAUUACAGUAACUUUAUGAUAAGUUUUGAAGUCAGGAAGUAUGAGACCUCCAACAUUGUUCUUUUCCAAGAUCACAUUGUCUAUUUAAGGUCCUUUGAUAUUUCCAUAUACAUUUUUGGAUUGGGUUUUCCUCUUUCUGCAUUAAAGGACUGCAUUAAUCUGUAGAUCACUUUAGGAAAUAUUGACAUCUGAACAAUAUUGUCUUCCAAUCCAUGAACAUGGGAUGUCUUUCCAUUUAUUUAUGUCCUCUUUAAUUGCUUUCAGCAAUGUGUUGUACUUUUCAGUGUACACAUCUUGCCUGCUUGGUUAAGUUUAUUCCUAAGUAUUUUAUUCUUUUUGAUGCUAUCAUAAAUGGAAUAGUUUGUCUUUUCAGAUUGCUUAUUGUUAGUGUAUAAAAAUGCAAUAAUUAUUUGUGUGAAUUUUGUCUCCUGCAACUUCACUGAAUUUGCUUAUUAGUUCUAAAAGUUUUAAGGUGAAAUGUUUACAUUUUCUAUACAGGACCAUAUUGUUUACAAAUAGAGUUAAUUUUACUUCUUACCUCUGACUUGGAUGCCUUUUAAAUUUCUUUUUCUUGCCUGAUUGCUCCAGCUAGGACUCCCAGAACUAUGUUCAACAGAACUGAUGAAAGCAGCAUCCUUUUCUUGUUCCUGAUCUCAGAAGAAAAGCUUUCAUUCUGGCAUCACUGAGUAUCAUGUUAGCUGUGGGCUUUUCAUAUACUGCCUUUAUGAUGUUGAGGUAAUUUCCUUCUGUUCCUUUGUUGACUGUUUUUAAAUCAUGAAGUUGUGUUGAAUCUUGUCAAAUGCUUUUUCUGUAUCAAUUGAAGUGAUUGUGUGUUUUUUCCUUCAUUCUGUUAAUGUAGUGUAUUACAUUGAUUGAUUUUCUUAUAUUGAAACAUCCUUGCAUUCCAGGAAUAAAUCCCACUUGGCCAUUGC
Homo sapiens (human) is the source of this 2203-nucleotide long non-coding RNA. The record is from Ensembl. Lineage: Eukaryota; Metazoa; Chordata; Mammalia; Primates; Hominidae.